CCCGACCUUCGGGCGGGUCAUAGAGUGGCGAACGGGUGAGUAACACGUGACCAACCUGCCCCGCACCCCGGGACAACCGCCGGAAACGGCGGCUAAUACCGGAUACUCCGGGCCUCGCGCAUGCGCGGCCCGGGAAAGCCCAGACGGUGCGGGAUGGGGUCGCGGCCCAUUAGGUAGUAGGCGGGGCAACGGCCCACCUAGCCUGCGAUGGGUAGCCGGCCUGAGAGGGCGAUCGGCCACAUUGGGACUGAGAUACGGCCCAGACUCCUACGGAAGGCAGCAG
RNAcentral lists this ribosomal RNA (283 nucleotides) under uncultured bacterium. RNAcentral's name for it is "partial 16S ribosomal RNA". It matches the Rfam family "Bacterial small subunit ribosomal RNA", at positions 72 to 354 of the family's 1533-position model. The record is from RNAcentral.